Non-coding RNA from Manis javanica (Malayan pangolin), 682 nucleotides. The record is from RefSeq and is a predicted model, not a curated record. Lineage: Eukaryota; Metazoa; Chordata; Mammalia; Pholidota; Manidae.
CGUCCACACCCUCCUCCCCCUCCCAAAGCUUCUUAGUUUAAGAUAACAGCCUUUUGUUCUCCCCAUGACUCCCCACUCCUGGGGAGAGGGAAUGAGGAAACCUGUAGGGAAGUGCUGCCUAUCUGAAGGUGAGAGGACCCUACGGAAAAGUCAGAUGCCUCUUCAAAGACUUGCUUGACUCUCCUGACAAGAUGUGGGGUCCAGCCCAAGGCAGGGGCAGGUGAGGCCUCAGAGCGCAGUUACCAUUUACCCAGCUCACCUGUGGGACUCAAGCAAGUGAAACUGCCAGAGAAGAACCACAGUGCUUUCAAAGGCAUUCCCUCAGGUUCACGAUGCUGCCGCCAUCGAGAUCUGAUCGUAUCACUUGACUCCCCCACUGCCUACUUCUCAACUGUAACGUCUGUAUGGUUACCAUUGUAUGGUUUCUUCGUAACCUAACUCCUUUCCUGCACUUCUUCAUGCACUGCAGUCCCAGGAGAGUGAUGUCUGUCCAGUUUGUUGACACCUCUUUGCCUCCACUUCUCUUCUCUCCCAGUGUGGAUAAAGGGAAGGUUUCUGCGGCCGGGAUUCUCACCUGGCCCUGGUCGGCUAGCUCACUACACACAUGUGGGCAAUACAUUGCUACUGGCUCAAUAUAAAGAGCUCUGCCCAUUGCUUUUGGUGACAUGGUGGCACGGCUGAA